Pseudophryne corroboree (corroboree frog) is the source of this 2787-nucleotide long non-coding RNA. RefSeq lists it as uncharacterized. The record is from RefSeq and is a predicted model, not a curated record. Lineage: Eukaryota; Metazoa; Chordata; Amphibia; Anura; Myobatrachidae. The transcript has 3 exons.
AUUAAAUGGUUUAUUCAUUUUGGAUUUAUAUACUAAUAAGAUAGAGGAAUAAUAUUUGAGAGAGGAUUUUAACUAAUAUAAGAUACAUACACAAUUAUAUGUGGAAAUUUUUUAAAAACUUGAAAAUAGGACCAAUUGCAGAUAUAAUUAAUUAACCAGCUCAUAGGAAGUGAUGUAAGAGUUAGGGGAUGAUAAAAGCCCAGAUGGAGCCACUAGAGCUCAUUCAGUGUGAGGACAGCAGCUCCAGAUUGCAGCCUAUAAAGUGCAACAAGCCAACUAAGUAAUUCCCACACAAAUGACUAUGGAUUUAAUUGAGUUACAGUCUUCCAUUCCGACACUUGAGACAGUUCCAGAGUCCAAUUUACCAGAGACUUAUUUCGGGAGACGAGCCGUCGAAAAGGGAAUACUGCACGCUUGAAAAUGUUAUCAAUAUGGAAGAAGGAGCAUACUUAGAUUGUUUUUAUGUAUCUGAAAAUAGUCCCAUUUCUGAAUCCUUUAAUGAGAAUGCUGAGCAGUCCAACCAAUCUACCAGUAUUUUAGGGGAAACAAAGAGCCAGGCCAAAUUCAUAAUGCAACACACAUUGACUUGGCCAGCAACCCUCUAUUUCAUCAUCUGAACGAUAUGUUUUUAACUUCCAUGUCUGAUUUUAAAGAGGUCUUACAUGGUGAAUUUGGACAUAUGGUGCAAGGUUUGCAGGAUAUUAAGAGUACACUCUGCACAUUGAUAGGGAUCCAAGAGCAAAAUACACUCCAAAUUAACACGAGUUUAAGUUCUAUAGCAGAUUCUUUAAAGAAACUGCUGGAGUUAAAAAUAAAAGAAUCUCAAGAGGGGUUUUACCAAGAAAAUUCUGUUGCUACUGGUUCCAGCAAGCAGGCCCUCCUGAAGAAGCGAAUAAGGCUUACACAAAUCUUAACACAAGAGAAAAGUGAACAAGCGGGUAAUUCCCCAGAGGAACAUGUCCCAAAACCCAAAAAUUGGAAAAAAAUUCUAAAACUCAGACAGCGUAGACUUUUCCUCUAAAACUCAUAACUGACUAAGGAGAUUCCCUCACGUAGUUAUUUGGGGAUACGGUCAUUAGGUCGACAACACUUAGGUCGACAGUCAUUAGGUUGACCACUAUUGGACGACAUGGUCAUAAUGUCGACAUGUACUAGGUCGACAGGUCAAAAGGACAACAUGAGUUUUUUGUUUUAAUGCAUUUUUUGAACUUUUUCAUACUUUACAUUCCACGUGGACUACGAUUGGGAAUAGUAUCCUGUGCCGAGCGCCGCGUUAGCGGUGCGAGGCAGCUUGUCUGAAGCAUGGCGAGCGAAGCGAGCCCACUAAAUGGGCUUCCCCACCAGUUUACGAUAAAAACAUCACCGAAAAAAACAAAAACCUCUUGCCGACCUUUUAACCUGUCGACCUAGUACUUGUCUACCUAAUGACCAUGUUGACCUAGUGACCCUGUCGACCUAUUGCAUGUCGACUAAUAGUGGUCAACCUAAUGACUGUCGACCUAAGUGUUGUCUUCCUAACGACCCAUACGCGUUAUUUUAGACUACAUUUUAUUCAAAGUGAUCCAUUUAAAAUCUUUUGGUUAAGAAAUCACAACAGAAUUAAUUGGUGUCAUUGUUUUUUGAGAAAUUUCUUCAGACAUUAAUAGGUCACAGUUUUGCAAAAAAAGUGGUGCGAAAUACACUCUCCUGUUUGGCUUCUACGUGAAACAAAAAGUUUAAUUGUUGUUAAAAUAAACAGUGUUUUAAAGGACGAACAUAAAGAAUGAUCAUUUACCUGAUAAAAUUUGUAACAACAUUUCAUAAGGUUUGAAUUUAGCUAAUGAUAUGAGAUGACCUUCAGACACAUAAUAAUGACAAGAGAAUCACUUGAAAAUAAACUGCUUUGAUGGUCUAGAACCUGACAAAAGCGUGUCACAAAUAGAUAUGCUGUAGCGCAGUGAAGUUAAAUGAUCAAGCCUACAAUGCGGCACCACUUUUAGUUCAAUGGACCAGCAUUAGUUUGUUUGGUAACCUAUGACAAUGGAUUGAUCCCACAGAACAAUAUUUUUUUAGACUUUGUGGGGGUAAGUGCAACUUGCCAAUCACUGGCGUACCUUUGUAAGGUGUAGUUCCGACAAUAUAUUUCAGCCACACAAGCAGGAGUAGUUGGAACAACAAAUAGUUACCAUUCCAGGCACUAGUAGUGGUGUAGUUGAUCUAGCCUGGUGGGCGGGGAUGUAGUGACUUCAUUUACCGGGAUGGAUAUUUGGCAGCAGGUUGCAAGAUAAUGGUGUUUGUAACAAAGUACAGGGUGUUCAGGUGAAAACAUGUUCCUCUUAGGGAUUACGUCAACGUGUUUCGUCCCAUCUUUUCAAAGUUGAUAUAGUGUGAACCAGUCCCUUUAAUGUUGCCUUUUUGCAACAAACCUUAUGAAUUGUUGUUACAAAUGUAAUCAGAUGAAUGUUCAUGUGUUAAAAUUGUGUGCAUCAGUUUUAUUUCAUUGAAGUACACUAUUAUAGGUGUAUUUUAAGCAUGUUUCUUGUGUAUUUACUGAGUGCAUGUAAACACAGUUAUACUUAAUUCAUUUGUGUUAAUUAUUUUAAUAAUCUCCCACCCAGCACAUUAAUCAUGAUUUUUGUGUGCUUACUGUAGAAAAGUGUGCAGGUUUUCGCAAACCCAUGAUUACUUGCAGCUAGUGUGACUGUGCUAAAUUAUAUAAAUGUUUUAUUCAUAUGUUUACAAUUGUAAGACAGUGCGCUGGGAGUUCGGGUGGUUUGACCACAUUAAUUUCCGAAAAUAAAGAUUACC